Molecule: ribosomal RNA, 406 nt
Filed under: uncultured bacterium
Lineage: Bacteria
Description: partial 16S ribosomal RNA
Rfam family: Bacterial small subunit ribosomal RNA
Source: RNAcentral
AUUGAACGCUGGCGGCAGGCCUAACACAUGCAAGUCGAACGAGUGGCGGACGGGUGAGUAAUGUCUGGGAAACUGCCUGAUGGAGGGGGAUAACUACUGGAAACGGUAGCUAAUACCGCAUACCAUCGGAUGUGCCCAGUUGGGAUUAGCAAGUAGGUGGGGUAAAGGCGCACCUGGGCGACGAUCCCGAUAUGGGCUGAGAGGAUGACCGGCCACACUGGAACGGAGACAGUGUCCAGAAUCCUACGGGAGGCAGCAUUGGGGAAUAUUGCACAAUGGGCGCAAGCCUGAUGCAGCCAUGCCGCGUGUAUGAAGAAGGCCUUCGGGUUGUAAAGUACUUUCAGCGGGGAGGCGUUACCCGCAGAAGAAGCACCGGCUAACUCCGUGCCAGCAGCCGCGGUAAUUC